GACGAACGCUGGCGGCGUGCUUAAUACAUGCAAGUCGAACGGAAAGGCCCUGCUUUUGUGGGGUGCUCGAGUGGCGAACGGGUGAGUAACACGCGAGUAACCUGCCCUUGACUUUGGGAUAACUCCAGGAAACUGGGGCUAAUACCGGAUAUGAGCUCCUGCUGCAUGGGGGGGGUUGGAAAAUUUCGGCGGUUGGGGCUGGACUCGCGGCUUAUCAGCCUGUUGGUGGGGUAGUGGCUUACCAAGGGUUUGACGGGUAGGCGGCCUGAGAGGGUGGCCGGGGACAAUGGGACUAAGCGACGGCGCAGACUGCAACGGGAGGCAGUGGUGGAAAGUAUGGCACAGUGGGGGGAAGCCUGAGGCAGAGACGCCGCGUGCGGGAUGACGGCUUUCGAGUUGUGAACCGAUUUCGCCUGUAACGAGGCGUGAUUGACGGUAAUGGGUAAAGAAGCACCGGCUAACUACGUG
This 468-nucleotide ribosomal RNA is filed under the name uncultured bacterium. RNAcentral describes it as "partial 16S ribosomal RNA". It matches the Rfam family "Bacterial small subunit ribosomal RNA", at positions 28 to 507 of the family's 1533-position model. The record is from RNAcentral.